Molecule: ribosomal RNA, 322 nt
Filed under: uncultured bacterium
Lineage: Bacteria
Description: bacterial SSU rRNA
Rfam family: Bacterial small subunit ribosomal RNA
Source: RNAcentral
GAUGAACGCUAGCGGCAGGCUUAAUACAUGCAAGUCGAGGGGCAGCACGGGUAGCAAUACCUGGUGGCGACCGGCAAACGGGUGCGGAACACGUACGCAACUUUCCCAAAACUGGUGAAUAGCCCUCCGAAAGGAGGAUUAAUACACCGUAACAUAAUGAAGUGGCAUCACUUUAUUAUUAUAGCUCCGGCGGUUUUGGUAUGGGCGUGCGCCUGAUUAGGUAGUUGGCGGGGUAACGGGCCCGACCCAAGCCUUCCGAUCAGUAACUGGUGUGAGAGCACGACCAGUCACACGGGCACUGAGACACGGGCCCGACUCCUAC